GCACGUCAAAGUUCCGAUCAAACGUCCAU
Molecule: small RNA, 29 nt
Filed under: Bombyx mori (domestic silkworm)
Lineage: Eukaryota; Metazoa; Arthropoda; Insecta; Lepidoptera; Bombycidae
Description: ovarian small RNA-16392
Source: RNAcentral